RNAcentral lists this transfer RNA (22 nucleotides) under Callisaurus draconoides brevipes. Its description in RNAcentral is "partial tRNA-Lys". The record is from RNAcentral. Lineage: Eukaryota; Metazoa; Chordata; Lepidosauria; Squamata; Phrynosomatidae.
GNAAUUAAUUACCCCUCAAUGA